ACUGCUGCUGUCAGAUUCUGUUUUAUGGCAGAUUUCACUUUACUAAGGAUUUUCAUGGACUAAAUAGCAUUUUAAACAUACAUAACAUCAAAUAUGACUUAGAUUGGCCAUUCCAAUGGCUAAUCAUUUACAAACCAUUUUCUUUCCAAACCAUAGCCAUAUCAUAAGAUCAUUUACACAAAGUGAGUAUUUUGCCAUACAUGCCACAUUCAAAACACACAAGCCAUUUUACCAAUUUAGACCUUCGGAUAGUGUGAACGAGUCUUCGACCUAUCCCAAUUCUUAAGCCGGAUUGUUAAAACUACAAUGAACGAAAAGGAGGGAGUAAGCAUAAAUGCUUAGUAAGUUCAUAUGCAAAUAACAAGUAACAUAACCAUACAAUUAUACCAAACAACCUUAGCAUGGUAUCACCAAAACAUAUAUCACAUUUUUAAACAUCAUUCAUCAUCUUACCACCUUAUCGUUGUUGUAUCUAUUUUCAACCCGAGGGUUAAGUACAUACCUGUCCAAAGUGUCCAUUUCACAACACUUACCAAAACGUCACUUGCAUCUUAAGUAUUCUUCAAUUUCACUAGAAAUUUUACCCGUUGAACACAUCGGAAUAUAAUUCGGAUACAUGGAUAAUUUGCACAUAAGUGCCACAUUUGUAGCCAAGCUACCCUGUAACCCGCCCAUAAGUGAACUCGGACUCAACUCAACAAGCUCAGGCGUUAGCAUCCAUAAGUGAACUCGGACUCAACUCAACGAGUUCGGAUGCCUAGUUACAUCUCACGAACUUGGACUCAACUCAACGAGUUCGGACAUUCCACAUCCAUAAGUGAACUCGGACUCAACUAAACGAGUUCGGAUGCUCAACCAUCCUAAUGACAUGUCACUUGUAUCCUAAUCUGUUCCUAAGGUUCAAACGGGAUUUUCCUCGAACACAUCUCCUUGCCAUCUUCCGUAAAAUACCGAAACCAAUACUCGGUAGCACUUUAUAUUUAACAAAUAAUACACUUAAUUUGCAUUUUAUUCGAAAAUAACCACAAAGCAUAUAUUUCAUGAUAAAAAUCAGCAUAUCAUAUAUUUAACAUCAAUAACUUAAAAAUAACAAUUAUGCUACCUUAUUUACACAUGAACUUACCUCGGUACAAAAUUUUUAACAAUCGAGCCUAUUCCUCGUAAACUUUGUUUUUCUCUUGAUCACGACUUGAAUCUCGUUUCUCUUGAUCUAUAAUACCAAAUUAACCUUAUUUAAUACAUACAUUGAUUAAAACAGUCCUUAAUACGAACUUUGGCAAAAUUACCAUUUUGCCCUUAAACUUUUGCAUAAUUACACUUUUGCCCCUAGGCUCGGGAAUUAAACUUCAUCCCUUAUUAUUAUGUUUUAUGACAUGCUGAUCAUUUUUCCCUUCUAUGGCAACAUCAAAUUCUCACUCUAACAUGUAUUUAUGACUACUAAAUAUUUUUUAUCGAUUAAGCCUUUUUACUCGUUUUUACUCAAAACCGAGUAGCACAAGUUGUCUAACAAAAUUUAAAACCUCAUAUUCUGUCAUAAAACAACAAAAUAAACAAAUUUCACCUAUGGGUAUCUUUCCAAAUAUGAACCAUAGGUUGAAUUAUUGUUAACAUAAGCUAAAUCGAGCUACCGGGAUUUCAAAAACAUAAAAAUCAUUAACAACGGGGCUUGAAAUCACUUACCAUGAAGUUUGAAAGUUGAAAAAACCCUAGCUAUGGAGGAGAGCAAAAAUCGGCAGAACAAUAUGGAGAAGAU
RNAcentral lists this long non-coding RNA (1753 nucleotides) under Gossypium barbadense (sea-island cotton). Its description in RNAcentral is "long non-coding RNA (GBAR_LNC004826)". Lineage: Eukaryota; Viridiplantae; Streptophyta; Magnoliopsida; Malvales; Malvaceae. The record is from RNAcentral.